CCUGAACCCACGCUUGGCGGCUCCCCCACACCUCCGAUAAAGGAAUUAGAAAAGCAGAUGAAUAUGAAAGGAUCAAGAUUGCAUUGGGAAACCAGUGUGUGGAAAGGCUCAAAUAGAUAACUCAAUGCCCAGAUUAAGCCCCGCCUCCACGCCAGUAGAGGCUCAACACUUGGUCUUAAGAAAAGACGACUCAAACAAAGUACAGUUGAGCUCAAUUUGGUUCCACACCAGUGUCUCAACAGGCACUUCAGGACAUCACUUCAAAACAUCUCGGGGUCCAAUCUCUUACUGAAUCAUAUUUAGAGUGGUGGAGUAUGAACUCAUUCUGUAUAUUACCCAGCCCAUAAUGUUUACUGCAUGUAUCCCCCACCAUCCAGUCACCUUGGCAA
Long non-coding RNA from Esox lucius (northern pike), 389 nucleotides. RefSeq lists it as uncharacterized. The record is from RefSeq and is a predicted model, not a curated record. The transcript has 3 exons. Lineage: Eukaryota; Metazoa; Chordata; Actinopteri; Esociformes; Esocidae.